Molecule: ribosomal RNA, 1647 nt
Filed under: Escherichia coli
Lineage: Bacteria; Pseudomonadati; Pseudomonadota; Gammaproteobacteria; Enterobacterales; Enterobacteriaceae
Description: partial 23S ribosomal RNA
Rfam family: Bacterial large subunit ribosomal RNA
Source: RNAcentral
CGAAUGCUGACAUAAGUAACGAUAAAGCGGGUGAAAAGCCCGCUCGCCGGAAGACCAAGGGUUCCUGUCCAACGUUAAUCGGGGCAGGGUGAGUCGACCCCUAAGGCGAGGCCGAAAGGCGUAGUCGAUGGGAAACAGGUUAAUAUUCCUGUACUUGGUGUUACUGCGAAGGGGGGACGGAGAAGGCUAUGUUGGCCGGGCGACGGUUGUCCCGGUUUAAGCGUGUAGGCUGGUUUUCCAGGCAAAUCCGGAAAAUCAAGGCUGAGGCGUGAUGACGAGGCACUACGGUGCUGAAGCAACAAAUGCCCUGCUUCCAGGAAAAGCCUCUAAGCAUCAGGUAACAUCAAAUCGUACCCCAAACCGACACAGGUGGUCAGGUAGAGAAUACCAAGGCGCUUGAGAGAACUCGGGUGAAGGAACUAGGCAAAAUGGUGCCGUAACUUCGGGAGAAGGCACGCUGAUAUGUAGGUGAAGUCCCUUGCGGAUGGAGCUGAAAUCAGUCGAAGAUACCAGCUGGCUGCAACUGUUUAUUAAAAACACAGCACUGUGCAAACACGAAAGUGGACGUAUACGGUGUGACGCCUGCCCGGUGCCGGAAGGUUAAUUGAUGGGGUUAGCGGUAACGCGAAGCUCUUGAUCGAAGCCCCGGUAAACGGCGGCCGUAACUAUAACGGUCCUAAGGUAGCGAAAUUCCUUGUCGGGUAAGUUCCGACCUGCACGAAUGGCGUAAUGAUGGCCAGGCUGUCUCCACCCGAGACUCAGUGAAAUUGAACUCGCUGUGAAGAUGCAGUGUACCCGCGGCAAGACGGAAAGACCCCGUGAACCUUUACUAUAGCUUGACACUGAACAUUGAGCCUUGAUGUGUAGGAUAGGUGGGAGGCUUUGAAGUGUGGACGCCAGUCUGCAUGGAGCCGACCUUGAAAUACCACCCUUUAAUGUUUGAUGUUCUAACGUUGACCCGUAAUCCGGGUUGCGGACAGUGUCUGGUGGGUAGUUUGACUGGGGCGGUCUCCUCCUAAAGAGUAACGGAGGAGCACGAAGGUUGGCUAAUCCUGGUCGGACAUCAGGAGGUUAGUGCAAUGGCAUAAGCCAGCUUGACUGCGAGCGUGACGGCGCGAGCAGGUGCGAAAGCAGGUCAUAGUGAUCCGGUGGUUCUGAAUGGAAGGGCCAUCGCUCAACGGAUAAAAGGUACUCCGGGGAUAACAGGCUGAUACCGCCCAAGAGUUCAUAUCGACGGCGGUGUUUGGCACCUCGAUGUCGGCUCAUCACAUCCUGGGGCUGAAGUAGGUCCCAAGGGUAUGGCUGUUCGCCAUUUAAAGUGGUACGCGAGCUGGGUUUAGAACGUCGUGAGACAGUUCGGUCCCUAUCUGCCGUGGGCGCUGGAGAACUGAGGGGGGCUGCUCCUAGUACGAGAGGACCGGAGUGGACGCAUCACUGGUGUUCGGGUUGUCAUGCCAAUGGCACUGCCCGGUAGCUAAAUGCGGAAGAGAUAAGUGCUGAAAGCAUCUAAGCACGAAACUUGCCCCGAGAUGAGUUCUCCCUGACUCCUUGAGAGUCCUGAAGGAACGUUGAAGACGACGACGUUGAUAGGCCGGGUGUGUAAGCGCAGCGAUGCGUUGAGCUAACCGGUACUAAUGAACCGUGAGG